RNAcentral lists this unclassified non-coding RNA (2851 nucleotides) under Limulus polyphemus (Atlantic horseshoe crab). Its description in RNAcentral is "formimidoyltransferase-cyclodeaminase-like, transcript variant X1". Lineage: Eukaryota; Metazoa; Arthropoda; Merostomata; Xiphosura; Limulidae. The record is from RNAcentral.
UUUAGGGAGCUGCGCUAGGAGUAAUGGCAGGUCAAAUGACAUAUGGGAAGAAACAGUGGGAGAAAUAUGAUGUUCAGAUGAGAAAAAUUAUUCCUGUUAUGCAUAAUGCCAUGAAGGAACUGGUCACCAUCAUCGAUGCCGACACAACGGCUUUCAGCGAUUAUAUGGCAGCUCUGAGAUUACCCAAGAACACUCCAGAAGAAGUUUCAAUGAAGCAGACAGCUAUGGAAGCAGGCUUGAAGAAAGCUAUUGAUGUACCUAUGAGUCUCGCAAGAAAUGUCAAUAAAGUCUGGGAAACUGCUAAAGAACUUGCAUCUUUAGUAAACAUUGGAGCAAAAUCGGAUUUCCAAGUUGGUAUAAAGUGUUUACAGACGGGAUUCAUGGGAGCGUACUGGAAUGUCACUAUCAAUAUGGAAGGGAUCAAGGAUGAAGUAUAUAGAAAGAGGAUGUUAGAAGAAGUGGAACAGUACAGAAGAAUUGCUGAAAUAGAGUGUCAAGAAAUUUUUAAAAUUCUUCAACAGAGACAGUAGAUUUUAUUGUUGCCUGGGUUAUGUUUGAGUUGGAACGUUAAGGGUUAUGCUAGAUUAUAUUGUUGCCCGGGUUAUGUUUGAGUUGGAACGUUAAGGGUUAUACUAGAUUAUAUUGUUGCCCGGGUUAUGUUUGAGUUGGAAUGUUAAGGGUUAUGCUAGAUUAUAUUGUUGCCCGGGUUAUGUUUGAGUUGGAAUGUUAAGGGUUAUGCUAGAUUAUAUUGUUGCCCGGGUUAUGUUUGAGUUGGAACGUUAAGGGUUAUGCUAGAUUAUAUUUUUGCCCGGGUUAUGUUUGAGUUGGAGCGUUAAGGGUUAUGCAGUAAAUAUUUUGUCUGGACAAUCAGAUAUACUUAUCUAAUAGUAUGAGAUUAUAUGUAAUGAGAAUUUUGCUUUUUAUAUUUUUUUUACUUUUUUUACGGACAACUUGAUUCUUUUUUAUGUUACAUUUAUGUAACGAAAACAAGGUUUAUCUUAUUUUUUAAAAGUUAACUAGUAAGUGUUCAAAUUUUCAUGUUGUUACCAAAUUUGAAAAAAACAACUCGCCAUAUUGUAUGUGAAAUACACUGAAAACCUUGUACGCUUGUGCCUACAAAUAUUAAAGUAUACAUUUUUUUACAUCACGUAGAAUAAAACAGGACAACAGAUCGUGUUCUGUGCAUCAGGUACUGGUGCUGGUAAAAACUGCGGGAGAACUGUACUAACAAGUCUGUGUAUGAUUUUCGUUUUUUGGUCAAGUUGUUUUUUUAAAGCAACUUCUUCAUAAGUAUGUUGUCUGAUAGUUUCUAAAUAUAAAUAUUAAUUUGAAAUAAUAAUCCUACCAAGCUUAACUCUAAAUAAAUAAAUCAUCUAGGCCCCCAUCCACUAAAUUAAACACUAAAAAACUCGAAGCCAGCCUUUAUCAGAUUUAGUGAACAUUCUAGCAUUCUCAAAAAAUACGAAUUUUGCUACCCAGAUAGCUGCCAUAUUGGAUAAAUAAUGCCAUCUUAGUGUAACUAGUAAUUAACAAUACAAGUUUUUUGAAAUGCUAUAAUAGAACAGAAACUGUCACAUGAGCUAGUAUUAGUUUUAUUAUAAAACAUUUUUAAUAAAUAAAAAAUAUUGAUUCUAACAAAAUAUGGAGCACUAUAGAUGUAAAAUAGUGAUAUUUUUAAAUAUCAUUUCUUUUUUGUACUACUCCAAACAUUGGCUUGUUACUUAGUUCUCAAGUUAUCAGAUUACGGACUUUUAAAUAGAAAGAUGUUGUGACAGAAAACUUGUGGACUUGAAACUAGACAUGAUGACAAAUAUUCCAGUUUUAAAAGAAUUGGCUCAGAAGUUUAGUACAAGAUAUAUUUUUGUUUGUUUAGGGUAAGAAACAAAAUUUAUAAAGUACAGUGACAAUAAUUAUCCUGGUUUAAAAAUUUGUGAAAUAAUAUACAAAAAACAACAAUGUUAAGUAGCAUUUUGUUUUCUAGAGAUGACAAGUUUUAUUUUUCGUGAUGUAUUUUUAAGGGACCAAUUUUGCUUUUGUGAAACCAAAAAUGCAGUUACAAACUUUGUGUCACUUAUCAGCAGCUGUCACACUGCCUAUUUUUAAACUGUUUAACCACUAGAUGUCCACUUUGUCGUAACUUUAAUGUAUUUUAAGGACACUUUUUAUCUGCAUAUUUUUCAGUCAGAGUUUUGAGGUGUUUUAAUCAAAGAUCACGUGUAAACUUGAUCCGGUAUUAAACUAUAGAUCAAAUCAUGACAACUCUAGAAAUAGUCUGAAGAAUUGAAGGUCCUGUCAGACUAACCUCACAUUAGUUAUCAUUGGGUAUGAAUAAUAAAAAAUUAUAAUGUUAAGUUUGUAGCAUAAUGUUACGGGUGAUUUAUGUUUAAUGAUCUUUACAUUAUAAGUAGUGUGAAUUUAAUGUUUGUCAGGCUUGAUACACCAGGUCUGGAGUUAAUUAGCAAGAUGUAUGUAGAUAAUAAAGCAGCCUCUGUUGUAGAUGGGAAAUCAUAUUAGGAUAGUUCCCACCUUGUAUACGUGAAGCUGUAGUUAAACUUGUGCUUUCUAGUGUUUGGUUCAAUUACUGUGUAUUAAAAUUGAAAUAUUCUUGGAAGUAGAAAUAGUGAGGUAAUAGUAACACCGUGGAUGGCACCAACUUCGAGUUUAUCAGUAGUAUAUAACUACACUAUGUUUCACCAAGUUGACCUAAGGUCUCAGGCUACUUCUUCAUUGAAAUAUUCUUGGAAGUAGAAAUAGUUUUUUGGGAAAUAUUUUAUAUUCCAAAUUAUUAUGAGCUGUACGUACGCUAUGUUUUGGUCAUGGCUGACAAAAUAAAAAAAAUUUUGACGUUUCA